Molecule: non-coding RNA, 401 nt
Organism: Bacteroidetes bacterium GWB2_41_8
Lineage: Bacteria; Pseudomonadati; Bacteroidota
Source: Rfam
ACCGCAGACCGCUUUAUCGCUGUCCUGAUUAUUCGGGAGAGAGGAAAGUCCGGGCAACACAGGGCGCCAUGCUUCUUAACAGGAAGGCGGGUGAAAGCUUGCAGUAAGGUAACAGAAAAUGACCACCCGGUUUUGACGUGUCACAACCGGGAACGGGUGAAAAGGUGAGGCAAAAGCUCACCGGUGGUGGUGGCAACAUCGCCAGCCGUACCUCUGAUGGGUUGCAAAGCCAAAUAUAUCAUGAUUUUCCGGUACGCCGGAAUACAGAACGGCCCGUUUUGAUUCUUAGGAAGUCGUGAGGGGUAGGCUGCUAGAUCGUUUCGGUGACGAAACGGCCAGACAAAUGAUAAAGGCCCGUCGAAAGAUGGGUACAGAACCCGGCUUACAGGUUUGCGUAUUUU